This is a long non-coding RNA of Astyanax mexicanus (Mexican tetra), 532 nucleotides long. RefSeq lists it as uncharacterized. The transcript has 4 exons. NCBI's taxonomy places the organism in Eukaryota, Metazoa, Chordata, Actinopteri, Characiformes, Acestrorhamphidae. The record is from RefSeq and is a predicted model, not a curated record.
UUAAUGUCAGUGACAUAAUAAUAAUAAUAAUAAUAAUAAUAAUAAUAAUAAUAAUAAUAAUAAUAAAAACUUCAUUUGUCUGUAGGGUGUACUCAAUGGGAAGCCUUCUAAGUGGUUUCCCCAAAGGCCGUCUUCCAAGGUGCCUGUCUAUCUUGACAGUGAGGAACAGCAAAACACCCUAUUUGCCCAUCUGAAGUCAGUGCUGCAGAGAAUGUCUAUACAGCUGAGCUUCACAGAUGAAGUGGAGUUCAUCCUCAGUGUUCUAUUUCCAGAGGCCAUCACAUAUGGCCUGGCUGCGCUGAGGAAUUUAUCCCUGAAACAGGCUGAGCAGGUCUUCAUCUGCGGUCCAGUUUAUCAUCACAGUGAAGUAGAGGACUUCAAUCAAAAAAUAAACAAACAACUGAAGAAAGAAGGAAGGCCAUUUAGUUGAAGUCGUUGCGAUCCAAGUCCCUGGAUAAAAAAAAACAACGUUAAUGUGUGAAUUUUAAUAUUUGAAUUUUGUUAUUAUUUCAAAUACAUUUUAUAACCCCAA